GGGGAUAACACUUCUAAUGAGGUGCUAAUACCGAAUAACAAGGUGCGAUUAUGUCGCAUUUUCAAAGAUGGCCUCUACUUGUAAGCUGUUGCUUGAAGAUGAGCCCGCGUCGUAUUAGCUAGUUGGUGAGGUGAUGGCCCACCAAGGCGAUGAUGCGUAGCCGGCCUGAGAGGGUGAACGGCCACACUGGCACUGAGACAAGGGCCAGUCCCCUAUGGGGGCCAGCAGUCUAGAAAUUUGCACAAUUGAUGAAAGUUGGAUGCAGUGACGCCACGUGGAGGAUGAAGUCCCUUGGGGUGUAAACUCCUGUCAGGAGGGAAGAAGGUGCAGAUAUUAAUACCAUCUGUUACUUGACGGUACCUCCAGAGGAAGCUCCGGUUAAUUACGUGUUAGUAGUUGUGGUAAUACGUAGGGAGCGAGCGUUGUUCGGAUUUACUGGGCGUAAAGAGCACGUAGGCGGGUAUGUAAGUCGGUUGUGAAAUUCUCUGGUUUAACCAGAGAAUAGCAGCCGAAACUGCAUACCUUGAGUCUAGCAGAGGGAAUCGGAAUCCUAGGUGUAGCGGUGAAAUGCGUAGAUAUCUAGGAGAAUAUUAGUGGCGAAGGCGGAUUCCUGGGCUAGUACUGACGCUGAGGUGCGAAAGCGUGGGGAGCGAACAGGAUUAGAUACCCUGGUAGUCCACGCCGUAAAUGAUGGGUACUAGGUGUUGGAGGAUAUUGAUUCCUUCAGUGCCGCAGUUAAUGCAUUAAGUGCCCCGCCUGGGGAGUACGGCCGUAAGGCUGAAACUCAAAGGAAUUAACGGGGACCCGCACAAGCAGUGGAGCAUGUGGCUCAAUUUGAUGCAAUGCGAAGAACCUUACCUGGGUUUGAUAUUUGGGGAACCCUCUAGAAAUAGAGGGGUGUUUUUGGGAACCCCAAGACAGGUGCUGCAUGGCUGUCGUCAGCUCGUGUUGUGAGAUGUUGGGUUAAGUCCCGCAACGAGCGUAACCCCUGUCCUUAGUUGUUAUCAGGUAAUGCUGGGAACUCUAAGGAGACUGCCUGUGAUAAGCAGGAGGAAGGUGGGGAUGACGUCAAGUCAUUAUGGCUCUUACGUCCAGGGCUGCACACGUGCUACAAUGGCUGGUACAGAGGGCUGCGAUACCGCGAGGUGGAGCCAAUCCCAAAAAACCAGUCUCAGUUCGGCUUGAAGUCUGCAACUCGACUUCAU
This 1205-nucleotide ribosomal RNA is filed under the name metagenome. RNAcentral describes it as "bacterial SSU rRNA". It matches the Rfam family "Bacterial small subunit ribosomal RNA", at positions 139 to 1321 of the family's 1533-position model. The record is from RNAcentral.